RNAcentral lists this unclassified non-coding RNA (238 nucleotides) under Hevea brasiliensis (rubber tree). Lineage: Eukaryota; Viridiplantae; Streptophyta; Magnoliopsida; Malpighiales; Euphorbiaceae. The record is from RNAcentral.
GUUAAUUCAUAUAUGGUAGUCUUAUUUUCUUGCUAAGCUAUCUUUUGGCUGAUCAUAUGGGUUUCUCUUUUUAGUUAGAAUGAAUGAUAAAACAGAAUGUAUGCACUGAAUUCAAAUUGGGUUAAAAAAUUCUUUAUUUAGAAUGAUAUCUUUGUAUUUAGUUGGUGAGAAUCUUGUUUCUGAACAAAUCAUUUUUUGAAGGAGGCACUUCAAUUAUCAAUCUGUGCUUGCAGGUUUU